This 405-nucleotide ribosomal RNA is filed under the name uncultured bacterium. RNAcentral describes it as "partial 16S ribosomal RNA". It matches the Rfam family "Bacterial small subunit ribosomal RNA", at positions 30 to 526 of the family's 1533-position model. The record is from RNAcentral.
AUUGAACGCUGGCGGCAGGCUUAACACAUGCAAGUCGAACGAGUGGCGGACGGGUGAGUAAUGCUUGGGAAUCUAGCUUAUGGAGGGGGAUAACUACGGGAAACUGUAGCUAAUACCGCGUACCAUAGGAUGAACCCACAUGGGUUUAGGUAGUUGGUGAGGUAAAGGCUCACCAAGCCGACGAUCUCUAGCUGGUCUUAGAGGAUGAACAGCCACACUGGGACUGAGACACGGCCCAGACUCCUACGGUAGGCAGCAGUGGGGAAUAUUGCGCAAUGGGGGCAACCUGACGCAGCCAUGCCGCGUGAAUGAAGAAGGCCUUCGGGUUGUAAAGUUCUUUCGGUAGCGAGGCGUUAACUACAGAAGAAGCACCGGCUAACUCCGUGCCAGCAGCCGCGGUAAUAC